CCUUCAGUUAUAAAAAAAUGAAACAGGGGUUGUCUUUGAGUCCAUAUGAUCUUCACACCAAGGGUCUUGAUUCAGAGGCUCUUCUUCUGGGCUGGUGGAGUUCAGAGCUUUCAGAAUAAGUCCCUUUACAACACUAAAACCCACAACAAGUCCAAUAAGAAGCAGUGCAAGUAACAGUCCAGUUUGAAUUAGUGACUUGAUCCAACCUGCGACACUCCAGCCUUGAAAAACAGACCCCAGCCAGUCUGAUGAUUCUCUCUUUAGGUCUCCUAUGAGGCUCUGCAUCUUUUGUAUAGUGUCAUGUAUGUCCUCAGCCCGUGAACUCAAAUUUAAACAGCAUAGUCCUGCAAACUCCUCACAGCGGUGAUUGUGAAGGAGUAAAAGGAAAUCGAUUGCAGCCCGGUUUUGGAGGGUGGCCUGCCUCGUUAUUUCCUCAUCUGAUAGGUCAGCUAGGGACUUUGAAGUAAAAUUGGCCUGCUUAGCAACCCAGCACUCGAGGUGUGCCAAUUCCCCGACUGUGUUUGCCAUAGCUACCCAGGGCAAAAGUGCAAUGGCAGCUAUGUUUUUGGAUGUGGACCACCUUAAAGUCACAAUUUUGAUCCCAAUUCUCAAGGUCAGUGUCUCUUUUUUGGCGUGCCAAUUGAUAGGUUUUGUUUAGAUUUUGCCAAUGUGCAAUUUUAGUUUUGUUAGGUGUAAACAGGCUUACCUGCCCAAAAGUACAGGGACCUCCGAUCAGGUGAGGGGGGAUGCCUGCCCAAGCUCACUGGCUGCAGAUGAGGAAGGUGCCUUUGGGUAGGGAGUGACGUUUAUUAUCAGGGGUGGAGUACAUGGGGACAUGUAUUACCCUCUGGCACCAUUCCUCUGAGGUGUAUUCAGUGGUGGUCUGCCUGAUCUCAAUGGCAAGGCGGUCUUGGGAAUCAGGGGUGACUGAGGAAAGCACACAGGUAGAAGCAGGGGAGGAACCAAGUAAAUCUAAUUCUUCAGGGCUUUUGUCCAUUAUGGGGAGCAGUUUGACCCACCUCCUCCAUGCGUCCAGUUGGUAGGCGAUGAAUGAGCGGGUUUCUUUGCCAGGGGUGGAAGUGGAUUUGGGGAAGGUGAAAGGGAAUUUGUUUAUUUGGUAUGGGAUCCCCACGAGGCAGGAUAGGAGAGGGUCAGAUGCAGAUGAUGUGGACACGCAAAUGUGAUCCUGAUUUAAGGAUUUAGCUAACGUGGCCCACACAUUGGCCUUGGGCUGAGGGACAAUCCAUGCCAGCUGGGGUGGUGAGAAUGUGACCAGGAUGAGGAGGAUGAGGCCUCUACUCAGCAGCAUCGCAGGUUGGAUCCGGGUAACAAUGAUUUCUGUAAAAUAACUGUGAUACAAAUUAAUCAUAUAGGUAGGGGAGGUCUAAAUCAAAAGGGAACAGAGAACUGAGGGAGCUGGAGAGAAAGGAUGAAUCUGAAAGAGAUGAUUUCCGCCGCCUCCUCAGAGCUGCAUUCUCCACCUGAGGACAGACAAUCACGGGUUGUACUUUAAGGAUGUGUGGUCUCACAAAUUUUGAGGGGACCCACCUCAGGCCUGAGGGUGUGGACACACAAGCACACCCACGCCCCCAGGCUACUAAAUCAUAGGGUCCCUCCUGCUGCCAUGUUUCUGAGUUUUUUACCAUGACAGGAGGUUUUUCUUUGAAUUUAGCAUCUGGGUAUGUGUGAAAAUGCCCAAUGAUUGAAGGUUUAGGUUUUCAAAGGAGCAGUUCAGAAAAUUGAUUGUAAAAAGUGCCUUAGCAAGCCGGACCUGGGGGGACUCCACCUUUAUCACUGUUUGUUGCUGCCUGAGAACUCUCUUCAAGCUCUGGUGGGUCCGCUCCACCACGGCUUGACCUGAUGGGGAAUAGGAGAUACCGGUCUUAUGUUCUAUUCCCCACUGCUGCAGGAUGCUCCCGAGGUUCUUGGAGGUAUACGCUGGGGCAUUGUCUGUUUUGAUACCUUUAGGGACGCCCAGUGUGCAGAAAGCCUUUAUCAGGUGUUUCUCAGCAUCAGCUGCUCUCUCCCCUGCGUGGGCAGAAGCAAAGACAGCACCAGAGAAAGUAUCCACAGAGACAUGAACAUACUUAAAUCUGCCAAAAGAGUGGAUGUGUGUUACAUCCAUCUGCCACAACUCACAGCUUCUCAGCCCUCUGGGGUUAGCCCCUGCACUCACAGAUGGCAUUGGGAGCGACUUACAGGAAGGGCAUGUGGCUACAAUGGCCUGGGCCUGGUCACGGGUGAGCUGGAAUUGUCUCACCAGGCCGGGUACAUUCUGAUGGUAGAGCUGGUGGAUAAUUUUUGCCUGCUGAAAUUUGUCUGGGAGUGGAGCCAUCUGGACAGGGGCAGCUGCAAGGGAAUCAGCAUGCCUAUUACCCUCCGCCAGGAACCCCGGCAGGUCGGCAUGUGACCUGAUGUGCAUCACAUAGAAGGGUUGCUCUCUGUGGGAGACUAAUCUUAUCAGCUUGGAGAGCAAGUUGUGCAAAGCAGUGUUAGAAACCCCCUGCAAAAUUGCAUCUUGAGCUCUAGACACUAUACCUGCUACAUAUGCCGAAUCAGUGACCAGAUUAAAAGGUUCAGAAAAUCUCUCAAAAGCUCUGACAACUGCGGCCAACUCAGCUACCUGGGGUGAGCCCACAACCUCAGUAAUAUCUGACUCCCACUGCUGAGUCUGAGGAUUUUUCCAGGUUACCACGGAUUUGUGGGACCCUCCGGACGCAUAUGUAAGAACAGUCAGAGCCUUUAAAGGUUUUUUACUUUGAAUAGUUUUUGUUGACAAUGUGAAUUGAACAUCCAGAUUUAAAAUUUUGUGGGCCAGUCUCAAAACAGAAAUUUGCCCGGUGUAGCUGUCUAGAGCAAAUUGUAGGGCCUGAUUUUCCUGUAGUAAGUGUUCUAGCAUUGCUUUGGUAAGUUGGCCCGAUUCUAAUCUUAAAGGAAUGUGAACGUACUCCAAGUCACAUCCACACAGCUCCCUGAUCCUGGCUCUGGCCUUGCGGAUCAAUUUUGCUACCAGCUCCUGUGGCUGUGUCAUUCUUUUGGCCCUUUGAUGACUUAUAAAGACCCACUCUAUAAUUAAGAGAGGAUCCUUCUGGUCCUUUUUUUCCGUGUGGGUGUCUCUCCACUGAAAGAUAACUCCGUGGAGGUGUGGCAGUCUGCCCAGCACUAUAAAUUCAAAGGGCAGGUCUGGAUCAUAUCUAUGGGCCUGCCGGACAGACAUUGCCUCCCAGACUUUCUCCAGUGCAGCCUUGGCCUCCGGGGUAAGAACCCUAGGAGAACUAGCCUCCUCUGCCCCUUUCAAUAAAUUGAAAAGGGGGGCUAGGUCUUCAUUUGUAAUACCCAGCCAGGGCCUUACCCAGUUUAAAGAGCCACACAGCUGCUGGACAUCUGCUAAGGUUUUGAUGUUAUUUUUAAUUACCAAUUUUUGUGGAACAGUGGUCCUCUUGCCAAUUUCCAACCCCAGGUACCUGCAGGGUGGCAUCCUCUGAAUUUUGUCCUCCUGAAGCUAGAACCCUGCAGCAACCAAAGCCUUAGUUAUCAGUUCAAGCACGUGUGUAAGUAGAUCGUCAUUGGGGGCACAAAUUAAAGUAUCAUCCAUGUAAUGAUGGAUUAUCACGCCGUCGUUGGCUGCACGGAUUGGGGCCAGCAACGAGGAGACACACCACUGACAGAUAGUCAGGCUGCAUUUUAGGCCCUGAAGAAGAACUUUCCAAUGGUAUCUCUCUGCUGGAGCUUCUCGAUGGAUAGAGGGAACUGAGAAGUCAAAACGUGGUGCAACAUCAGGGUGCAAAGGAAUUUGGAAAAAACAAUUUUUGAUGUCAAUAACUGCCAGAUUCCAAUCUUGGGGUAACAUUGUGGGGGAUGGCAUCCCUGGCUGGAGAGGACCCAUAUCUUCAAUUACUUUAUUUCUCUGAGAUCGUGGAGGAGCCGCCACUCGUCCUUGCCAGGUUUUUUAAUGACAAAGACAGGGGAAUUCCAGGGAGAUGUUGUUUCUUGGAUGUUCCCUUUGGCUAGCUGUUCACACACGAGCUGUUGGAGCGCUUUUAAUUUUUGUUUGUUUAGCGGCCACUGCUCUACCCAGACUGGAGUAUCAGAUAGCCAAUUUAAUUUCUGGGUAGGACGCCCCCUAGUGACCGCUGCCCGAAAAACCUGGGGGGGUCGGGAUGUCAAUUGUCACCCCCCACUGGGCCAUCAGGUCUCUCCCCCACAGGGGUUCUGUGUAAUCUAAAACAAAUGGACGUAGGUGUGCUAAUUGUCCAUUUGGCCCCUCAAAUUCACAAUGUUUUUUGAUUGCUUAGCCAACUGUACCCCCCCUACACCUUGAAUGUGGCCGCCCACCUCCUGCAAUUCCCAAUUGGAUGGCCAAUUCCGUGAAGGAAUGAUUGUUACAUCUGCCCCCGUGUCUAGGAGUCCAUUCAUGUGUUUACAUUCACCCCCUUUAAACAAAUAACAGUUAAUUUUGGGGCGAUCUUUUCCCAGUACCUGGGCUUGACAAAUCUUAUGAAUCUUCUCUGGUGACAGCUUCCACAGAUGUUCCGGAUGCACUGGUGGGCCAGUCACUGGAAUAGCCUGUGCUAUAAUUUGUCCUUUGGGAAUGAACACUGGGGGUUGAAAGCAGUGCAGCCACACUACUAACUGUUUUGGGUUUGAGUCAGUUAAACAAGGAGCAAUAGUUAUCUCGACUGGCGUGUAUUUAGUGUCCCCAAUAACGAUAUACCUACUGCGGAUGUUUCUCCAGGUCUCAGGGUUCCCAGUAUCGACUGUGACAAAAUGCCAAUCUGUGUCCUUGAGAUACAAAGGCUCAGUUAGUGCCAGCCUGAAAGGAGAAGAAUUAGAACAGGUGUUAAGCACGGGUUUAGGAUGGUCAGGGUCCCGACCCAACCAAAACCUGGAAAUAAAAGGCACAUCAUCCCCUGGGUGAUUAAUUUGAUUUUCUAAGGUCACGUUAAUGAAUGAUUGUCAGUGUCCUCAGGUGGGUGCUGGGAGUCACUGCCCACCUCCUCCAGUGAUGGUAUUCAUCCCACCUCAUUUGUGUCUGCAUGCAGGGAGGAACUGCGCUGACAGCCUAGUUUUUUGGACCUUCCCCCUGGUGAGGAAUCCCUCGCCCCUGUUGAUUUUUAAACUGUAAAAAUUCGUCCUUAACUGGGCACUGGCGUGCCCAAUGUCCCUUCUGGUUGCACAGAAAACAACGUGUUCCUUGUUUCAGUCCCUUUGGGGGUGGUCCCGGAAAGCGAUGAGGCGGGGUGGCUGUGGCUGCCGGUGGUGCAGUGUCCAUGCUGGAGGCUUCGGCAAUAGAAACCCUUUUUAGAGGCGUCCGGAAUUCCCUGAUGUCCUUUGCAGGGAUGGAGACUUUCCGCGCGCAGACCUCUAGCAUGUUUUGUAGAGUGGGGUCAGGAUCGAGGGGGAGGCUGAGGAUGGCAUUCUGGCAAGCCUCGUUUGCAUUCUGCCGCGCGAUCACGGUAAUUAUUUCUUGCUGGAGCGUCUCGUCUGACACUUGUGUAUCUACAGCCCGAUGGAGUCGGUCUACAAAACUUACAAAAGAUUCUAAAGGCUCUUGUUUAAUUGACAAAUAAUUAACAACGGGGCCACUAAGUUUCAGCCUAAAGAAUGCCUUUUCUGCUGCUUUUGCACUCAGAAGCAAAGCUUCUCUUGGUAACUUUUCUGCCUGUUUUGGACCUGAUUUCCAAUCCUCAUUCCCACAUAAGUGGCUUGUUGAAAGCACCUUCCCGUCUGA
This 5731-nucleotide long non-coding RNA is filed under the name Taeniopygia guttata (zebra finch). RNAcentral describes it as "lncRNA (ENSTGUG00000022576.1)". The record is from RNAcentral. Lineage: Eukaryota; Metazoa; Chordata; Aves; Passeriformes; Estrildidae.